UACGUAGGGCGCAAGCGUUGUCCGGAAUUAUUGGGCGUAAAGAGCUCGUAGGCGGCCUGUUGCGUCCGCUGUGAAAUCCCGGGGCUCAACCCCGGGCCUGCAGUGGAUACGGGCUGGCUAGAGGCAGGCAGGGGAGAACGGAAUUCCUGGUGUAGCGGUGAAAUGCGCAGAUAUCAGGAGGAACACCGGUGGCGAAGGCGGUUCUCUGGGCCUGCACUGACGCUGAGGAGCGAAAGCGUGGGGAGCGAACAGG
RNAcentral lists this ribosomal RNA (253 nucleotides) under uncultured bacterium. Its description in RNAcentral is "partial 16S ribosomal RNA". It matches the Rfam family "Bacterial small subunit ribosomal RNA", at positions 524 to 776 of the family's 1533-position model. The record is from RNAcentral.